RNAcentral lists this small RNA (70 nucleotides) under Arabidopsis thaliana (thale cress). Its description in RNAcentral is "ATSL266270". The record is from RNAcentral. Lineage: Eukaryota; Viridiplantae; Streptophyta; Magnoliopsida; Brassicales; Brassicaceae.
AAGGUAAACAAUUGAACUCGUUUAGAAUGCAUGUUUAGGUUAAAAAUCUCUCGGCUUCUUUGGUUAUUCU